Molecule: transfer RNA, 73 nt
Filed under: Cyclobacteriaceae bacterium
Lineage: Bacteria; Pseudomonadati; Bacteroidota; Cytophagia; Cytophagales; Cyclobacteriaceae
Description: tRNA-Asn
Rfam family: tRNA (bases 4-67)
About the family: Transfer RNA (tRNA) molecules are approximately 80 nucleotides in length. Their secondary structure includes four short double-helical elements and three loops (D, anti-codon, and T loops).
Source: RNAcentral
CUCCCUUAGCUCAGUGGUUAGAGCAUCUGACUGUUAAUCAGAGGGUCGAUGGUUCAAGUCCAUCAGGAGAGCA